This 312-nucleotide long non-coding RNA is filed under the name Homo sapiens (human). RNAcentral describes it as "HSALNT0291552". Lineage: Eukaryota; Metazoa; Chordata; Mammalia; Primates; Hominidae. The record is from RNAcentral.
GUAGCAAUUAGGUUUCUUUGCAGGAGAUGAAGCCAGACUGCUCAUCAUUCCAGACAUCUUCAGCUGCUACACCCAGAACAAGCAUUCGAAAUAUGAACAGGAUGGUGAGCCAGAUCUUUCCAAUCAUGGUGGAGUGGAUGUGAACUUCCUCCAGAGUAUCUCCAAGGAGAUUCCAGUCCCCCAUGUUUAUUUAGUCAGCCAUCUUAGCUCUGAUCCACAUCAAAUAAGAGGCAGAUAAAUUCUUCCAUUCUGAAGGGAGCACUAUUUCUUAAAGCAAACCUAUGGUGAAAAUAUAACAAUAUGUCACUUCUA